Long non-coding RNA from Maniola jurtina (meadow brown), 183 nucleotides. RefSeq lists it as uncharacterized. The record is from RefSeq and is a predicted model, not a curated record. The transcript has 3 exons. Lineage: Eukaryota; Metazoa; Arthropoda; Insecta; Lepidoptera; Nymphalidae.
UCGACUUCACUGGCAGACGUCAAAUGUUAGUAGCAUUUGACGCAGGUAGCCCUAAUAUAGCCCUAUUUUUCUAUGAUUUUACGUCAACAUGGCCUAACAUUUGACAUAAUCAUCGAUUCAGGGUCAAACCAAGAGUUCCCUGACUCCAGUUCACUCUGCCUAUAUUGAUAUCUGUGAAAGACA